GAUCCCGCCCCGCCAGCUCUGCAUCCCCUGCUCCUUUGGGUCUCCUGUGAAACUGGUUAAUAAUAAAGAGCAAAAGCCCCCUGGCCCUUAUCACUCUUUUAUUAAACUCACUUGCAUGAUAGCUUUAACACUGUGUGCUCAUUUUUCUGCUUCCAGCCUUAAGGCGGAUACAAUAUAUGAGUAAAGACAUAGCUUGUUUUACUAGCCAGUGUAGUUCCACAGGAACACGGUAGAUAAGUUACAUAUGUUAAAGCCGUUGUAGUGAUGUGCACCAAAACCUCAUGUGAAAAGAACUCCGAAUCAGCUCUUCUCCAGGGAAUCGUCAGCAGGCUUGGAGAACUCCCUGCCGCAUAGACUUGGCAUCGGCACGCGCUUGUUACAGAUCCACUGACGGCUCCUGGUUUUGCUAAUAGCACAGAAGCAGACGAGCAAACACCGGCCAAGUCUCGUCUUGAAAACCGUUGAGAGCCAGAUUCGCGCAGCCUAAAUCCCCCGCGCUGGUGUUUCCUUUUGGCUAGGCACCUCUGAAGACUUCUACCGAGUUUCCUAGGUCAUCAGGCAUAAGCAGGUGAAUACGGAUGUUUCCAGUCUCUCAUUUCUUGAUGUUAUGCCACACUUCUGCUGCUCCCUUUGUCCAAAAUGGACCUUCCAGCUUUACAAGGGCUGCAGAUGGCUCAGAGACCUUUGUGAAGUGAGUUUGUAAUUUUAUUUACAUUUGCCUCCUUACAAGUGAACACUCCAUUUCUUCACAGAGGAAGCAUACAGGGCUGUGAGCUCACUCUGACUGACCUAAUUUCAAUCCUUAAUCAUCUUUUAAGAUGACUGUUUUCAGAGAACUAGCAGAACCAGUUGGAGUAUGAAGUUAGGUGUCAUAUCCUGCCUAUUCCAUGAGAAGAAAAAAAAAAAAAAAAAAAAGCCAUUCCAGCCUCGCCAGGAAGGGUAUGUUUGAAGUCUUUCCCAGUUACUGCCUCCACCUGCCCUGCUGGCUGUUCUCAGAACCAGCAGCGCGGACGGCCUCUGACCAGUCCGACCCGUGCACACGGAGCAGGUCCUCCUCAAGGCACGUUCUGCCCCUGCCCGUGGAUAUGUGGCGUGACAGAAGCAUCAUGAUACCGACAGGUUCCAGCCCAUCCUGGGAAACAAUGCCAUGGCGUCAUUAACCCCAAAGUGCCACGUCACCUAUUCUCAGGAGGAAGGGGGGAGUUCGAAACACACAUACUUCUCUGUUUCCUUCUGUUGGCUGGCUGGAUUUUUAAAGGGCCCGAUUAAAUUACCAGAAUUCAAAGUGAGUGCAGUAGGUAUUUCCUUUUAGUAUUAACCUCUGUUGUUUCCCCAGAAGCAAGUAAAACUGCUGUUAGGGAGUUCGUGCACCACUUGUUGAUGGGAGAGAUGAGACACCCACUGUGAUGGGGGGGAAAAAAAAGAACAGAACUAACAAGUUCUAUUGCAGAAUUGAUAUUAUCUCAAAGAAUCAAAGUUUGUGCUGCCUUCUUUUUUUCAGCAUACAAAAUUAAUUUGUAAACAGUCUUUCUUCAAGUAUCAAUUAAAGAGGGAGAGACUACACAGGCUCCUUGAUUUCCAAGCCUAUCUUUCUUAGCCAGCUGGAAGGGAACUUUCCAUGCAGUUGAAGCUGUUAACGAAAGGUAAGAUGAGCAUGUUUACACGUGUUUGUACUUUACAUAUUCUACCAGAAAAAAACUAUUUAAAUCACCAUUAAAAUUCAGUUCCAUGGAUGCAGGGUUGUCUUGAUGUAAACACAGCUUAUUAAUCACACAUUUUCAUGUCAACGGAACCUCAAGAUUUUAUUUUUCUGUGGAGGUGAUGGCAUCCUCCAGGUAUUUUUUUAAACUUUGAGUUGCUUUCCUCCCUGCAUGCCUUAUACUUUCUCAUGUGUCCCAGAGGUCUCCUGUCAUUCUUUAGAAAAAUGGAGCCGCACAGGAAUUCUUUAAGAGCCUAUCAGCACCACUCCCAAAUUAGCCAGACAGGAUACUGUUUGUUUAAUUUCGCAAGACAUUUGCUUUACCCAAAGGCAAAAGCGCUACCUCACAGAAUUCCCAGCCAUGAGGCUCUACACUUUUUAAGGAUUUUUUUUUUUGUGGCAGAGGAGUAAGUUAUCCUAACCGAGGCACAAAACAUAUUGAUGCAUUUAAUAAUGCAACCAGGUUGUUGAAUACAAUAUAAUUAGAUGUCUUUUAAACACUUCACUAUACUCACUUAAGAAAGGCCCUAAUCUGCUCUAAUUGGCUUCACAGUAACUGCAAAGAGAAAAAUUGGCUGCAAAUAAAUCUGCAGGCUUUUGCAAUAGCCCAUUGUCUGAUGUUUCUAAACAGUCCACACCAGUGCGUUGCUGUUCGUAUUUUGAUGGGUUUAAAUAGUAUUUUCUUAGGACCUGACAGAUACAGAUGAAUGAAUAUUGUCUGUAUAGAGGAGAAAGAAUUUCACUCUCUAGAAAGGUUUUACAUACUAUUUUUUAUUACUGUUCUCAUAGGAGUUUGGAUAUUAAGGGAAUAUGAUGAGAAAUCAUCUCUUCUUUAGCUAGGCGUAAGGAAAGCUUCUACUUUGCCAAUGCUGCUACACCUCCUCUAGCAGCACAAUGACCCGAAUCCCAGCGCCUAGUUGUGACCCUCUCUGAACUUUGCAUACAGUUAUAGUGAAUUCAGGUUCUGGCCUUUCUCAGGAGCGGAGAAGAAAAAGCACAGCUCUGAGCUGCGGGGCUUCACUUCGCUGUCAUGGGGGAGCACAGCUCUGAGGCCGGCUCUGCACAGCGGCCCCGCUCGCCCCGGCGAGCACGGCAGCCCCGGAGCCGUGGCACAUCCCCUCCUGCUGCAAAGUAACUUCGGUUCAGCUGAUCCGGUGACAGCAGCAGGGAGGAAUUUUCUGCUGCAAGUGCUGAGCGCAGACAAAGAGGCCGCUUAACUCUCUCUGUGCAACCGAAUCCUGCGGGGCUCGCGCACGCCUGCGUGCUUCCCGCGCGGGCCCGCGGAGCGCGUGCGGCGGCGAGGCGGCCUGCUGCGUCUUGCCUGGUGCGCUAGCGAGACUGAGAGAGACCCGCCGCAAGCCAAAAGAGCUCUCAGUUACACGUUGUUUCCUCGUUUGUGCUCCGGAUUGCUCCGGCCUCUCUUUGGUGCCCUGGCCUCGCUCCCUGUGGGGGCUGCAGGACCCCGUGGAGGCUGUGGGUCUCUGUGGGGACUGCAGGUCUCUGUGGGGGCUGGGGGCCCCCGUGGAGGCUGCGGGUCUCUGUGGGGGCUGCGGGACCCCGUGGAGGCUGCAGGACCACGUGGAAGCUGCGGGUCUCUG
Dromaius novaehollandiae (emu) is the source of this 3297-nucleotide long non-coding RNA. RefSeq lists it as uncharacterized. Lineage: Eukaryota; Metazoa; Chordata; Aves; Casuariiformes; Dromaiidae. The transcript has 4 exons. The record is from RefSeq and is a predicted model, not a curated record.